This 76-nucleotide transfer RNA is filed under the name Candidatus Faecicola pullistercoris. RNAcentral's name for it is "tRNA-Val". It matches the Rfam family "tRNA". Rfam says of the family: Transfer RNA (tRNA) molecules are approximately 80 nucleotides in length. Their secondary structure includes four short double-helical elements and three loops (D, anti-codon, and T loops). Lineage: Bacteria; Bacillati; Bacillota; Clostridia; Eubacteriales. The record is from RNAcentral.
GGGGGUAUAGCUCAGCUGGGAGAGCAUCUGCCUUACAAGCAGAGGGUCAUAGGUUCGAGCCCUAUUGCCCCCACCA